AUGACGACUCACGGCCGUAGAGCAAAUAAAUAGCAGGAUGAAGAGAACGAAACAACUACAAACAGUAAAGAAGGUGGGAGUGUGUGGAAGGUGGACUUUGGCUGCAGUAACAAGGUACCUUGAGACACUAACCUGUGACAAGGACGAAUGCUUCGUAGGAGUUCACUCCUGAAACUGCUCAUCAUAUCCAACAUCAUG
Molecule: long non-coding RNA, 198 nt
Organism: Ornithodoros turicata
Lineage: Eukaryota; Metazoa; Arthropoda; Arachnida; Ixodida; Argasidae
Exons: 3
Source: RefSeq, a predicted model, not a curated record